GUGGGGAAUAUUGGACAAUGGGCGCAAGCCUGAUCCAGCCAUGCCGCGUGAGUGAUGAAGGCCCUAGGGUUGUAAAGCUCUUUCACCGGUGAAGAUAAUGACGGUAACCGGAGAAGAAGCCCCGGCUAACUUCGUGCCAGCAGCCGCGGUAAUACGAAGGGGGCUAGCGUUGUUCGGAAUUACUGGGCGUAAAGCGCACGUAGGCGGACAUUUAAGUCAGGGGUGAAAUCCCGGGGCUCAACCCCGGAACUGCCUUGGAUACUGGGUGUCUGGAGUAUGGAAGAGGUAAGUGGAAUUCCGAGUGUAGAGGUGAAAUUCGUAGAUAUUCGGAGGAACACCAGUGGCGAAGGCGGCUUACUGGUCCAUUACUGACGCUGAGGUGCGAAAGCGUGGGGAGCAAACAGGAUUAGAAACCCUAGUAGUCC
This 425-nucleotide ribosomal RNA is filed under the name uncultured bacterium. RNAcentral's name for it is "bacterial SSU rRNA". It matches the Rfam family "Bacterial small subunit ribosomal RNA", at positions 354 to 796 of the family's 1533-position model. The record is from RNAcentral.